AGUAUUAGAAAUGGGCAUAUCAGUCUUUCACAUUUACACAUUAGUAAAAAUAGAAAAACUACAUCGUCUCCCUCGCUCCCGAGCCCUCUCUCCUCCCUAAUUUCACAGAGUCCCUCUUGAGAGAGCGCCGCCGGCCUGCCAACCCCUCUCUCCGCCGCGGCCCUCGACCAGCGCGUGCCGCCGCCCUACACCCAGCCCGCGGCGCCGCUUACCUCGCCUAGCGCCAGCGUGCGCCGCCGCCGCCCUCCACCAGCGCCGUCCUCGCCCUCCUGCAGCGCGCCGCCGCCGCCCUCCACCAAGCCAGCGCCGCCGCAUGCCGCCCUCCUCACAGCGCGCUGCCGCACUCCACAUUAACUAGCAGGGGAGCAAAUGUUCUAGCACAAACAUUAGUACAUUACUAGUUUACUACACAUGGAGCUUCUGAUUUGACCGGAUCAUUUAGGUGUGUCUCAUUUUACCUGAAUCAAGAUCCUUACUGUUAUUUUUUUUUAGAAGAUUAGGGGCCACAGCCCCCCGGUCCCAAAUUUCAUUGAAACCGGCCACAGCGUUUGAAACACAGUUUAGACAAAACAUCCCGCGAUCAUUACUGUUAUUUGACGCAGCUGAUUUCCUAGGCUGUAUAAGCGAAGUGUUUUGGAAGAUUUGAUCUCCUCGUGCGUCAGCAAGGGCUAUGUAUUCCAAAUGGAGAUGAUUGUUAGGGCUACUAGAUCACAUUGAAGAGGUCCCAGUAACUUUUGUGGACAGGGUCUUUGGAAUUUCAAAGCUUGGUGGAUCUGAAAUAGUUGGAUAUUUGAAAGGCCUCGUGUAUCUGCUGCGGACGAAUUAGUGGAAAAAUUCCUGCCAAAAGGAGAUAUGGGAAAGAUAGAGUAGAUGAUGCAUGACUGUUAUAGGACAACUCUUGUUAAGAGGGAAUUUUUGUCUGUUAUUGCAGCUUGAGUUGCGUAACAUUGCUAAUGCUUUUGGACCUAUUAUUGAAUCUGCACACAAGUUAUUGUUUAUGACUAUCCUUCUGAAUUUUGUGGCU
This is a long non-coding RNA of Brachypodium distachyon (stiff brome), 1024 nucleotides long. RefSeq lists it as uncharacterized. NCBI's taxonomy places the organism in Eukaryota, Viridiplantae, Streptophyta, Magnoliopsida, Poales, Poaceae. The record is from RefSeq and is a predicted model, not a curated record. The transcript is spliced from 2 exons.